This 5621-nucleotide unclassified non-coding RNA is filed under the name Zea mays. RNAcentral's name for it is "misc RNA Zm00001eb269760". Lineage: Eukaryota; Viridiplantae; Streptophyta; Magnoliopsida; Poales; Poaceae. The record is from RNAcentral.
UUCAUUUCCAAAUUUCCCAGCCGCCGCCCCAUCGAUCCUCAGCUUCCUCCCCAUCCCUCUUCCUUGUCGCCGCCCCAUCCAUCCUCCUCGUCGAUCGGCAUCUUGCUGCUUGGCCCUAAUCAAGAUGCCCUCUGGAAGGUUGGUCGCACAUACCUUGAUGGUAAGGGGCUCUUUCGAUUAUUCUCUCAGUAAUUGCCCCCACCGCGUCACCCGCCGUCGUGCCUUGCUGCACGCUCCUUUCCCAUCCGCAACAACCAACCUUGCAUCGAAAGGUGGAAAUGACGACAACAAUCUCCAAUCUACUGUCCCUCUAAUCUCUAAUCUGCUAGCAUCGACCUCCAAUCUGCUUCCCAUCUCUGUCCUCUUCCGAACAUAGUGGAAAUGGUGACGCUGGUGCUAGAGUGGGCUACCAAGGAGCCCUGCCUCAUGACCAUGGGGGUUGAUGAGGCAGGUCAUGGCCCUAUCCUUGAUAAACACUUGUCUUUCUUCUGACCGGUUAAUAUGCAAUAUUGCUUUUUUUGAGUUUUCUUACUACAUUGUAUGUAUAAAUGUUCAUUAUGUUUGAGGUCCUGGAGGUUUCAUGGGCUCAUUUCUCUAAUGAAAUGGAUGCUACAAAGGAUUUAGUAAAAUGGAUGCUACAACUCGAUACUAGAGAAGGCCCUGCUUGGUAAACGCUACCAUGCAAUUUUGAGAAAUCUCUUUGAAUUGUUUGACAUCAUCUUAUAGCUUUGGAGCCGUGUUGAUCGAUGGUUCAAACGAAUAUAUGAGUUGCAGCUAAGGGGUCAACCAAAACCAAAAUCUAAGGAUACAGGUUCAUGGCUUGAUAGCGACAGAAAAUCUAUGCCCAAAAAUGUUGGUUCCGGUUUUCCCAUAGUAGUGAAUUCAUAUGAGAUGGCCCUGUAUGAUGCUAAAUUUCUUGCUGCCCAUAAGUGGAAGUAUGUUGUUGUUAAUGAGGUGAUGGAAAACAUAUUUUCUAAAUUAUCACCCAUUUGUUUUCUCCUUUUUUGUAUUUACAUGUCAGUUCCAUAUUUCUUUCUCUAGGGCAUCGGUCGAAAAAUUCUAAGUGUCUAUUAUUAAGGGAGCUGAAGCGCGUACCAAUGUAUAAUAAGCUUUUUUUACUUGGCACCCCUUCUGUAUAAUCUAGCGUAGCUCUGGUCACUAUUGAACUUCAUUUUGCCCAUUAUAUUCUCAUCAAAUCAAGAACAUGUCAUGAUAUAAUUCACACACGCUUUCCUAUUUGCCCCUUUCAGUAUUUUAUUCAUGUUAUUCAAUUCGUACUUGCAACUGAUUUAUGCCAACAUGACUAAACAUCGUAAACAAAUCCAACGUCACUUGGUUGAAAAAACAUUUGAUAAUUACUUGCAUGAGGAAUGAGAUAUUAGUAUGUUGUCAUAAUAAUGCUUACAUAUUUAUGUAGACUUGUAGUAAUCCAGUUGUUGGAGACUUGUUCUCAAAUGCUAUGAGUUAAGAAACAAGGCAACACAAAUGUUAAUGGUUAAAGGUUCUUCGUCCUUCGAAGCAUUAUUUUUCUUAGGAUAUAAUGAUCUUCGGACGAAGGUUAUGAAGGACUUACCUUCAUCAUCACAACAUGUGUUAAUGAAAGAAGAAGCAUAUGAAACAUAUAAGAGACAAUAUGAAUAAUCAUAUGACAUUAUUAAUAUACCUUCUUUAUAUUAACAUGAAUAGACAGAAACAAUAUUGAAUUACAUUUGUACCUUCGGCUUGGUAGAAGGUAAAAGUCCAAGCGUGACUCAUAAAAUGAAUACAAGUCAGCGUGAACAGUACGGGGGUACUGUUCAUCUAUUUAUAGGCAUAGGGUGCAGCCUGUGUAAAUUUACAUUCAUGCCCUUCAUACUUUCUAUUGUCUUAUGGACAACCCAAUGGGGACUAGAUAGUCUUUUCCUCUUUAAGUUGGUUCCUUUUUCCGCCGUUGUGCCAAAGCUCCCUUGCGCGUAGCUUCGGAGCAGUAUGCGUCUUCGUCUCGGUCACACUUUUCACAUCGUAUAUAGUUUUGGUCCAAGUCCGAAGGUACCUGUUCACGUGUUACACUUGGAAAGCAUUGUUAAAUCAUGUUUUUGAGGACCUUCGGAAGACGAAGGCCCCCAACAGUAGCCCCUCGCAGUAUUAAUAUGUUAAGAUAACGAAUUCAGACUGCGACAUGAACGAAGACCUUAAGCCGAAGGUCCGAAAAAACACCUUCCCUUUGCUAGAAUAGCAAUAAACAAUGACAGAUGGGACCCUCCACUUUUGCAUCGCGCUGGGCAUAUAAAUAAGAACUCACACCAGCUGCAAUUGAUACGCUGCUUGUGCCAUUUGCAUUAUUUUCUCAAUUUUAUAGCUCUUGCUCACUAGCGCUUGCUAGAUUUUCAAGCUCUCUGAGCUUCGGUUCAAAAGACACGUUUUCACCAUAUCUGGAGAAAAAUGUCUCCGAAAAAGAAGGUUGCUGCGGAGACGAAGCUAACUAAAGAGGCGAAGCUGUUUGAGGAGAAGAAGGCUGUGGAUCCUUAUAUUGCUGUAUUUGUUAAGUCGAUGGCAAAAACAAACACAGAGAAAAUUACUAAAGAGAUACUGGAAGGCUUAUCUGAAGAUACUGGUGACAAUGAUAGCUAUGAUGUGGGAAGUGGGGAUGAAGAUUCUGAGGAUCGGCCCUGGAGGCCAAGUCAUUCAAUCUUCGGAAAAUCGACCAUCAAAAAGAGUCAUCUUGAAAACAUGAGAGGAAGGUACUUUCAGGAUAUGUCUACUGUGAGGGCUGGUGGAGACAACAACGUCUCUGCCCCUGAAGAAAACGAAGUUGUUAUUUACCGAAGCUUCUUCAGGGCUGGGCUUCGGUUCCCUUUGAGCAAGUUUGUAGUUGAAGUGUUGAAAACCUACCAGAUCUUCCUCCAUCAGAUUACCCCCAAAGCUAUAAUAAGGAUGGAGAUUUUUGUCUGGGAAGUAAGGAGUCAAGGGCUAGAGCCAAGCGCAAAGUGCUUCUGCAGUAUGCACGAACUUCUAUAUGAGACAAAGGCCAUGGGUAAAGAACAGUACCACAACAACUUCAGUUGUUAUGGUUUUAUCGCUCGCCCUAACGCAAGCCACCCGGUGCCAACAUUUUGGAAGAGAUGGCCUGGAGCUUGGAUGGAAGAAUGGUUUUAUGUGAAGAAUGAUUUGAAAGCGAGGGAAGACAUUAAGGAAGUCAUCAUGCGCCCCAUUUGGUCUCGCUUCGGCCUCCGAAGGCUGAAGAUAGAAAUUGAUGAGACAAUUGAAGAGUGUCAGAGGGCCUUCAUCACUAUUUGCUCCUUUAUUGGAACAAGAGAUUUAAUUCAAGAACAUAUAGCCUUUAGGGUAUGGCCACUUGUAGAUAGCUGGGAAAUGCCGAAGGAGACCAUUACUGACUCUAGCGAAGGUGGUUUGAUCCGACUGAAGUAUACCUUCAGGUUCGGAGAUAAGUUUGAUGAACCAGAUGAUGACUGGCUGAAGUGUAUCGAGGCUACAAGUGACGAACUGCUUGGAGCAUAUUCCAAGGCAGAAGAUAACGCGCUGUCCGUAGCCUUCGAAGGUCGGGGAAAGAAAAGACUGAACAGAGUUUUUGACGCCAUCGGCUUCAUAUACCCUGACUACCGCUACCCGUUCCGGGGAAAGGGGGUAAAAAGAAAAAUUGCUGCUUCUGGAAAGGUUGCCGCUUCAUGAGAUAAAUCACAUCUAGCCAAACUAGUUAGUCCAUAUGGUUUGUGUUGGUCGUCAACCACCAAAAUCUAUUUAUAGGAAAGGGUUAACCCUAUUUCCCUUUCAGCGCCGCCUCCCCAUCGCCACACCUCCUCCUUCGCGCCGCCCCCUCCCGCCGCCGCUUGCUCCAUCCCGCCGCCACCUCCCCUUCGCGCCUGCUCCAACACUAAGGUGUCGGACUCGACCUUCGCCACCGUGAGUUUGACUCAUCCGCGAUCUCGGAUGGACACCCUAGUGACACUAUACCAUGGAGAAAGCGUGGAGGAAGAUGUUUAUGGGAAUGUUAGUUUUUAUGGUAUGAAGAAGGUGACUGAUGUUCGAUGAAAGACCUUCUUUUGGCCAAAUUUUCGCUCGAGCUUGUGAGGAGAUUAGUUGCAAUUUAAACGACCCUAGCAUUAUCAAUUGAGGGUUUAUUGUCCCAUGUUACAUCUGAGACAAUUGUCCGACGGUUGAUCUCCAUUGCCUCUGAAGAUGACUGGUUGGAAUAUGUCAAAAUUGUGAAGACGAUUAUUCCACCAUGUUUGGAUGUGGUUGUUCAAAAGUUAUAGUUUAGUCAUUGUGAUGCUCCAGUCGGGUUUUCUCCACAAAUGCCAAAUGCAUCUCAUAGUGAAGCUCCUUUGCUUGAGCUUCCGGAUGAAGUGGUUGUUAUGCCAGAUGCUCAAUCGGCCCCGAACGAGGUAGAGAUUUCUCAUCCUGUUCGCUGCGUUUGUGGGGCUUCGAAUCCAGUGGUACCCCCCACGAGGUCCCAUUGACCUAGGAUCCAACCCCGGAUCAACCUAGAGUUCCACAACUAGAUAAUGGUGCUUAUCUUCAUGUGCCCCUAUCAGCCAAUAUGGACCACAUAUGCAGGGCCUCAAAUAGUGUUGAUGUUCAGAUUGAGGAUGGGGAGGAGCCAUAUGAGGCUGCAUGGGCCUUAGAUUCUGAUGAUGACCGCUCGGUUCAAGAAAUGACCGAGCAAGAAAUUGAACUCAUCAGACGUUUGUGUCCUGAGCGUGACCCUACAGUACAUGAAUUUAGCAGUCUAAGUCAUUCCAAUGGUGCAUACACAGAAGGACAUGAUGAUGAACUGCUAGAGGCUCCGGAUAACGCCGACAACAUUGAGAUUAAGGUAGGCUUACUUUUCAAGGACCUGCCUACACAGAAACGAUGGCUACAGGAAUAUUCCGUGAACCGCAAGAGGUCGUUCAAGGCAAGACACUUGUAUGCUCAGCGUCGUUACACAGUUGUGUGCGAGGUGUCUGAUUGUAAUUGGAGGGUAUGUGCCCGCAGGCAGAAGGAAACCGGAAAGUUUAAGAUCACAAAAAUUUUAGGUCCACACACUUGUGCCCAGACAGAGCUGAGCUUUAAGCAUCGUCAGUUGACAUCUACCCUAAUUGCGAAAAGGCUAUUGGGGACAUUGAAGGGUCAGCCAAACUUGAAGGUGAAGUCAAUUAUGACCAUGACUUGGGAGCUGUUUGGUUAUAGGAUCAAGUAUGGGAAAGCAUGGAGGGCAAAGCAACGAGCAUGGAAGAUGAUAUACAGGGAUUGGGAGGAGGGUUACGAAAAGUUGCCAGCAUUGUUUAAUGCAAUGAAAGCAAAAAAAUCUAGGUAUGCAUUACGAGUACAUCCCUAAACCUAACGAAUGGAGGAAUGGCACAUAGAUCUUCUUUCGUGCUUUCUGGUGUUUCUCGCAGUGCGUAGAGGCCUUCAGGCAUUGUCGUCUCGUGCUCUCUAUUGUUGGUACUUUUCUUCUUGGGAACUAUAAGGGCACUGUUGGUCACUUGUUCUCAAAUGUUGUGAGUUAAGAACAAGGCAACACAAUUGUUAAUUAUAACAUACCUUCGUCCUCCGAAGUAUUAUCUCCUCAUGGAUAUAAUACUCAUCAAACAAAGGUCGAGAAGGACAUACCUCCAUCAUUUAUUAUAUAAGUAAGGAUG